RNAcentral lists this ribosomal RNA (253 nucleotides) under uncultured bacterium. RNAcentral's name for it is "partial 16S ribosomal RNA". It matches the Rfam family "Bacterial small subunit ribosomal RNA", at positions 524 to 776 of the family's 1533-position model. The record is from RNAcentral.
UACGGAGGGUGCGAGCGUUAAUCGGAAUAACUGGGCGUAGAGCGCACGCAGGCGGGCUUUUAAGUGAGAUGUGAAAUCCCCGGGCUUAACCUGGGAAUAGCAUAUCAGACUGGGAAUCUAGAGUACUUUAGAGAGGGGUAGAAUUCCACGUGUAGCGGUGAAAUGCGUAGAGAUGUGGAGGAAUACCGAAGGCGAAGGCAGCCCCUUGGGAAUGGACUGACGCUCAUGUGCGAAAGCGUGGGGAGCAAACAGG